UUUCCGUAGGUGAACCUGCGGAAGGAUCAUUAUUGAAUAAACUUGGUUAGGUUGUUGCUGGCUCUUAGGAGCAUGUGCACGCCGACUCCAUUUUUAACCACCUGUGCACCUUGCGUAGAUCUGAUACUCUCGAGGCAACUCGGUUUGAGAAUUGCUGUGCAAUAAAAGGCCAGCUCUUCUUGUAUUCAGGUCUAUGUUUCUACAUACCCCACAUGAAUGUAUUUUGAAUGUCGUCAUUGGCCUUGUGCCUCUAAAAACAAAUACAACUUUCAACAACGGAUCUCUUGGCUCUC
RNAcentral lists this unclassified non-coding RNA (293 nucleotides) under plant metagenome. RNAcentral describes it as "partial contains small subunit ribosomal RNA, internal transcribed spacer 1, and 5.8S ribosomal RNA". The record is from RNAcentral.